GACGUAGGGCGCGGGCGUUGUCCGGAUUUAUUGGGCGUAAAGAGCUCGUAGGCGGCUUGUCGCGUCGACCGUGAAAACUUGGGGCUCAACCCCAAGCCUGCGGUCGAUACGGGCAGGCUCGAGUUCGGUAGGGGAGACUGGAAUUCCUGGUGUAGCGGUGAAAUGCGCAGAUAUCAGGAGGAACACCGGUGGCGAAGGCGGGUCUCUGGGCCGAUACUGACGCUGAGGAGCGAAGGCGUGGGGAGCGAACAGG
This 253-nucleotide ribosomal RNA is filed under the name uncultured bacterium. RNAcentral's name for it is "partial 16S ribosomal RNA". It matches the Rfam family "Bacterial small subunit ribosomal RNA", at positions 524 to 776 of the family's 1533-position model. The record is from RNAcentral.